ACGCUCGACACCUACGGGAAGGCAGCAGUGGGGAAUAUUGCACAAUGGGGGAAACCCUGAUGCAGCGACGCCGCGUGAAGGAAGAAGUAUCUCGGUAUGUAAACUUCUAUCAGCAGGGAAGAAAAUGACGGUACCUGACUAAGAAGCCCCGGCUAACUACGUGCCCGCAGCCGCGGUAAUCUGAGCGGGCGUGGCGAAGGC
This 201-nucleotide ribosomal RNA is filed under the name uncultured bacterium. RNAcentral's name for it is "partial 16S ribosomal RNA". It matches the Rfam family "Bacterial small subunit ribosomal RNA", at positions 328 to 538 of the family's 1533-position model. The record is from RNAcentral.